Molecule: ribosomal RNA, 468 nt
Filed under: uncultured bacterium
Lineage: Bacteria
Description: partial 16S ribosomal RNA
Rfam family: Bacterial small subunit ribosomal RNA
Source: RNAcentral
GACGAACGCUGGCGGCGUGCUUAACACAUGCAAGUCGAACGGAAAGGCGCUGCGUUUGCGGGGCGCUCGAGUGGGGAACGGGGGAGUAACACGUGAGUAACCCGCCCCUGACUUAGGGAUAACUUCAGGAAACUGGGGCGAAUACCCGAGAGGAGCUCCUGCUGCACGGUGGUGGAUGGAAAGAUUCGGCGGUUGGGGAUGGACUCGCGGCUUAUCAGCUUGAUGGUGGGGUAGUGGCUUACAAAGGCUUUGACGGGUAGCCGGCCUGGGAGGGUGACCGGCCACAUUGGGACUGCGGUACGGCCCAGACUCCUACGGGCGGCAGCAGUGGGGAAUAUUGCGGAAUGGGCGGACGCCUGAUGCAGCAACGCCGCGUGCGGGAUGCCGGCCUUCGGGUUGUAAACCGCUUUCGCCUGUGCCGAAGCGUGAGUGACGGUACUGGGUAAAGAAGCACCGGCUAACUACGUG